RNAcentral lists this long non-coding RNA (346 nucleotides) under Homo sapiens (human). Its description in RNAcentral is "HSALNT0010508". The record is from RNAcentral. Lineage: Eukaryota; Metazoa; Chordata; Mammalia; Primates; Hominidae.
UCGUGCUUGUUUGCUCAUCUUAUGUUUUAGGUUCCUUGCUAGCCUUUCUGCAAACGUUAUAUUAAUUCAGCCUGUUUCUGGUGAUUGUAGGGAAAGAGUACAACAUAUAAAUAUUGAGUUUUCUAGAAAUGGAGGCUGUUUCUGUUUUUGGUAUUGUAGAGCAAUGUCAUAGCCUUGCCACAUCUGAACUAAGAGAACCCCAGCCUCCAGAGCCUUUACCACCUGUUGUAGCAAUCUUCCCAUGUAUCGUUUGGGUUAAUUUCCUCAUUUUAUUAGAUUUCUUUUGCCUUCUGUUUCUUCAGUUAUUACAAUUUUUUAUUAACCAAAAUAUGCUAUUUUUCCCCCA